ACCUCAGCUAGCUCCUCCGCAGAGGCUAGGCUUUUCUUGUUUUCCAACACCGGGAAGAGUUUACGCAGGGUGGAGAUUCUCGCUUCUCCUCCGUAGACCUGGUGGGAAGCUAGGUAGAGACGGGUGUUGUUGGUGAAACCCAACGCUGAAAGAAGGAGACCAAUCUCUUCGGGUGUUAAUGGACAACGCCCUUUGUUUCUUAGCUCUUCGUCUGUGAACUGUGAGUUUAACACCCUUCCUUGCCAGAUCACUUGGCGGUAUUUCGCCAGCGCUAGUUUCUCCGCCUUGCCGCCUCCAAAGUAAAAGAGGAAUGUAAAGUAUUCUCAUACAUUUGCAUUUUCAUCUUGUGUUCAGGCAGCACAGUUUUGGAAUCUAAUAAAGGAAGAAGGAUAUCUCUACGUAUGUGGUGAUGCUAAGGGCAUGGCGAGAGAUGUCCACAGGACUCUACAUACCAUUGUUCAGGAGCAGGUAUGAAUGAACAUUGUGGAACCAGUGGUAGAAUUUGGGUUUUCUCUUUGUUCGUUUGAGUUGAAACACUUGGAAGAUUGGUACCAACUGUAUUUUUAUCUUACAAAAUUUCCAGGAAGGUGUGAGUUCGUCAGAGGCAGAGGCUAUAGUAAAGAAACUGCAAACUGAAGGAAGAUACCUCAGAGAUGUCUGGUGAUGGAUGAUGUUAUAGUUUGGGAUUCUCCCCUUCUUUUUUUAGCUUUCUUGGUAGGAAGGCUGUUUUUACCAUUUAGGUAGUUAUUUGUUUAUUUUCUUCUCUCUCUCUCAUAAACAAUACUUGGAAAAAAGAAUCACAAUAAACUAUAUUAUAAAGGCAAAUGCGAAAUUUCAUAGUCAUAGUUGAAAGUUGGAACUGAAAUUUUCAAAAACCAGUUCAUUCAUGAGACAUUGAUUGAUCAGCUUAUUUCUUGUAUUCUACUUCUAAUUGAGGCAUACUUGGCUAUUCUGAAAGGGUUCGAAUGAAUGUACUACCGCAAGACAUGCAUUAGUGAGAGAAGAUUGUACAUCUAAAAGCUUAAAUCAGCCGAACAAAGUGAAGACUCAAGAGGAUACUAAAAUAUCAUGGAGUUUUUCCACUCUCCAGAUUUAUUGGACUGUAUAGUCUUUCAUCCGUUUAAUACUUUUGUUCCAUACAAAGACACUUUUGACAAAUCUUUAAUCUUUGGCUAUAUAUUAAGCAAGAAAAUGAGACAGAAGGAGGAAAAUAAACAAAUAAAUAUCUAAAUGGUAAAAAACAGCAUUCCUACCAAGAAAUCUUUGAAAAAAAGGUAGAGCAUCCCAAAUUAAACAUCAUCAAUCACCAGACAUCUCUGAGGUACCUUCCUUCAGUUUGAAGUUUCUUAACUAUAGCCUCAGCCUCCGAGGAACUCACACCUUCCUGUAAAUUUAUAAAAAUAUAGUUGGUAUCAGUCUUCCAAGGGAUUCAACCAAAACAAAACAAGAAAAACCCAAAUUCUACUACUUGUUUCACAAUGCUUAUUCAUUACCUGCUCUUGAACAAUGGUAUGUAGAGUCCGGUGGACAUCUCUGGCCAUGCCCUUAGCGUCACCACAUACGUAGAGAUAUCCUUCUUCCUUCAUUAGAUUCCAAACUUGUGCUGCCUGAAUACAAAAUGAAAUGCAAAUGAGAAAUGACAUUAUAAUACAUUUCUCUUUUCCCAAAGCCUGAUGUUGAUGCUUACCUUCUCUACUAUCUUAUGUUGAACAUACUCCUUCUGUGCUCCCUCACGAGAGAACGCCACAAUGAGCUCAGAGAUUACGCCUUUAUCAACAAAGUUAUUGAGUUCAUCCUCGUAAAUAAAGUCCUGCAAGUCAUACAUAUAGCAGCAGGUCAACAUGCUGAUGACACUGCAGAUGGAAAAGGUGCAAACAACUAACAAGUCUCACCAUUCGCCUAUUUCUACACCCAAAGAAGAGCAAAGAUGGACCUAGCUCUACACCAUCUUCUUUCAGUGCCAUCCUCUCUUGCAGAAAUCCUCUAAAAGGAGCCAGGCCAGUCCCAGGUCCCACCAUAACGAUGGGAGUUGGGGGGUUGGACGGUAACUUGAAAUUAGAUGCUCGAAUAAAGAUUGGUGCUCCACUACAUUCACGACUUUUCUCCGCAGGAACUGCAUUCUGAGUUUUACAAAAGCUAUGAAAAACAAAAAGCGAACUUAAAGAUAGUGAAUAAAUGAAGGUGAGGAUUACCUUCAUCCACGUAGAACACAACCCCUUGUGGAUUCUACCAGUAGGAGUGGGACCAUAGACUAGUGCGCAUGUAACAUGAACUCUGUUUGGAGCCAACCUGUAUUAGAAAAAUAAAGAGAGGGACUUUGAAUGACGGAGACUCUAUUUUUCUUAUGCUAACAAUUAGUAUCUCAAAAAUAAAUAAUCACCUCGGCGAGGAUGAGAUGGAAUAGUAACGAGGUUGUAGACGAGGAGCUAUUGCAGCAAAAAACACACCAAGUGGGGGUUUAGCAGAUGGAAAUGCAGCCAUAACCUCUAAAAGACUUCUCUGGCUUGCAACAAUCCAUUGUGAGUAUUCAUCCUAAAGCCAAAAGACCCCCCAAGGAUGUUAACUCAAGAAAACUUUAAAACCAUAGAACAAGAUACACCAGUGACUCAGAACCUUUCCAUCAGGUGAUGUCAAAUGUUUAAGCUUCUUGGCUUCGCUUGGUUCAGUGGCAUAGGCCGCCAAGGCAACUAGCGCAGACUGAAAUCCCAAAAGUAAACAAGUUUAAUUAUUGGGAACAAGCAGAAACCAACACCAUCAGAAAAAUCUGAUCUCAAAGCAAACAGAAGUUAACCUUUCGAGGAGGGUUCAAAAGGUCUGCGUAUUUUGCCAAAGCAGUACCAAGUGUGCAUGGACCAGGGAAGGGAGGUGGCAACGAGCUUCCCAAUGGUGAACCAUCUUCCUUAUCAGCAUGUAUGGAAAACACUAAAUCAAGAGAGUGGCCAAGCAAUUUUGCAGCUUCUUCAACUAUUUCAGCAUGAUUCUCAGCAUAUACUCCUACAUGGUCUCCUGUUUCAUAUCUGCAAAGAGAAGAUGCCAUUAAUUUUUACUAUACACGGGUGUAAUUUUAUAAUCUUCAUGAUGACGAUCUGCUGUUGACUAAAGGGUCAAAAUAUUCAAUCUAUAGCAUAAUCAUACGUGGAAACAGAAAGUCUAUGCAAGCCAAGAUAACUGUGCUGCCUUGUAACUAAUCCAAGGGUAGGAGAUAAUAACUACAGCUCAGAGUUAGAUACUUACGUGAUACUAGUGCAUAUGUCGAACUCGAGAUGAAUACAAGACCGAUCGGAUUCUGGUGUGUGAAGUUCCCUCUGGACAGCAACAUUAACUCUGUUCCGAAUAAAGAGCAAAUGUUAAUACGCAACCAAAAGUGUAGAACAUUGAUCCAGUAUAUUAUAUUACACGGAUCUUCAUAUACCUGCGAGGAUGAUGAAUGUCAAUAGCAGAAUUUCCGUUGGCAACACUCGAGUCCACUGAUUUCUCAGAUAUAAAACUAGGAUCAUGAAUCAUCACCCGAUACUCAGGAAUAGCAGCUGUAUAUGGAGUUGCCACACUUGUGUCAUCCUCGUCUCUGAGGAGCUUGUCUAGCUCAGGCCAUAGCGAUUCUUUCCUGCAAAAAAACGAAUGAAUUGUACAGCGUAGAGGUCAAAUAAUCUCUCACUGCAAACACAUUUACUCAAGCAAACUCUGAAGCUUCCCUUUUUACAGUAAUGGGGUAGAAGACUAGAGAAAGUCUUCCAAAGUAGCAAACGUAAGACAAAGAAACAGAAACAAACCAGGCAUUAAAGUCAUCCUCAAUGCUCUGAUCAUCAUCUCCUAGACCAACUUCAAUAAGACGCUUUGCACCUGCAUUGAAUAUGACGACAACAAUUACGUUUCCCCUCAUGCACCAAAGAGACGGAAAAAAAGAGAAAACAUUCAGUAUCAUUAUCAUCAUAGGUAAACAUCACAGUAAUAUGUCCUUCAGUGUCUUUUCAAUAUCUAGCAUUAGAUAAGAGUUGCAAAACUAUGUAAACAUACACAUGUACCUUUCUUAGAGAGCUCUUCAUCAAGAACUAUCCCAAUCUGUUCCAAGAAAUCAUUUUAUUAUUAGUGAAGGCCCGAAGAAAAUCGUUAAUAAGCUAGAAGCAGGCACAUCUUUUUAACCACGGUACCUUAUUAAAAUGUUCAUAUUGGCGAUUACCAAGUGCAAACACACCAUAUGUUAGUUGCUGAAGCCUUAUAUCCCCUUCAGUUCCCUGGAGACAUGAAACACAGAGUAGUUAAUUUGUUGAAGCCUAACAAAUCAGAGGAGAAUAAAACAUUUGAUUUGAUUGCAUUGAGGCUACAAACCUCUGUAAACCAUUUGUAAAAUCUAGCAGCAUUGUCAGUGGGCUCCCCAUCUCCAUAACUAAACAAGUUACCAAAUAAAUAAAUCCAGCAAACACUUGAAGUGCAUAUAGCAAAAGAUAUCAUCAUCAGAUUGGAAUAUGUCUUACGUAGCAACACAAAAGAAUGACAAAGUCUCCUUCUUCAACUUCUCUUCAUAUUGAUCGUCAUCAGCAGCAUAGUCAUCCUAAUCAAAACCAUAAAACAGCAAAGUAAGAAAGUCAAAUCCAAGUGAUAGCAGUCUCGCAUGAAGUGAAUAGAAUAAUAAUGUAAGUAAAUCAUACCAAGUCAAUGACUUUGACUGCAGCUUUUUCAUAUCUCGCUUUGAUUUCUUCUGCUAAUGCCUAUGAAACAGAAAAUGAAAAUGUUCUCAUAAAGACCAAACCUUUGAAUCACAAUAACGGAUCAAAUAGAGCAAUUGUGACAAGUUCUAGUUAAACCCUAAGCCACAUCCAACAUCAAGAGCUACUAAUAAGUCAACAGAAUCAUAAAAAAUCAACACUUUUUUAGCAAAUAGUUACACAAUACCUUCGCAAAUCCUUCAGCGGUUCCAGUCUGAGUACCAAAGAAGAUAGAGACUCUCUCCUUGCCAGAUCCCAAAUCCACAUCCUCCUCGUCCUCGUCCUUAGCCAUCAGAGACUUUGGGAUCACCAAAGGCUUCAGCUCCUGGCUCUGAUCCGACGUCGUUUUCUUCCAUACCAACACCACGAACCCAACUACAAGUGCCAAAGACGUGGUUGCAAUCACGAGAACAACGUCGUCAGACACCGAGUCGCCGAGAAAGGCUCCCAAGAUUGACUUGACCUCCUUAAACACACCGGAAGCAUACAGAGCAGAACUCAUCUUCUUCUUCUUCGUCUGACUUUGAGAAAGAUUGGAUCUUUUCUCUCUCUCCAAAGGACGGAAGACUCGGGAGAGAUCGAAGAGGGAGACGGUAGGAGAAGGAAGACAGAUAAUUGAGUUUACAGGUUGAGAGUUGAAUCUGAGUGGGUCCUUGUCUUUUCCUUACGUUUUAUGACUUUGAAUCUCCCACUUUUGUUUUUCUUUUUCUUCUUCUUUAUUACAUUGUCAACAAAGUAACAUCGAAAACUUUUAGUUACAUCGAUUCCAUCUUUAUGUAAUUUAAAAAGAUAUAUUUUUCCAUAAAAGACCACCUUCGUUAUAAAGUUGAAUGCGUAUCAAGAUCGGUUUAUAUGGCAACAAAUUGAUCCUUUUUUUUUUUUUUUUUUGUAACAAACAACAAAUCGAUCUUAAUCGAAAUAAUUUUUUAGAAUCUAAUUUAUACGAUUCAUAUCGACUUAAACCAUGUUAAAUCAGUUUAAUGGUUAAAUUUAAUUUAAAGUAAUCUAGUUUAGUUUAAAUCUGUUAAACUAGAGAAUAAUGUUAGUAUAAAAUUUAUCUAAUUUUUUGUUUUAUAUUUUUACUAACGCAUAGGCUUAUGACUGGUUACCAAAUGCAGCAGCGAUUAAAUAAUAAAUUAACAAUAUUUACAUUUUAUAUAAUUAUAAAAAUAUCAAAAAUCAUAAUAUGGUAAUAAAUAUAAAAAUAUUAUUUAGAAAUUUAUAGUUUUAAAUUUUUUUAAAUUAUAGAAAAUAUUUUUAUUUUUAAAAUUUAUUAAAAUAUAAUAGAUAUAUUUUAUUAUUUUUAUAAUUUCAAUUUAAAAUUUUUAUUGAAUAUUUUUAUUUUUAUUUAUAUUGUUUUAAAAAAAAAUUAUCAUCAAGCAACCGCAGACGCUAGUUGGAAUCAGCUUUUGAAUUUUUAAAGUUUAGAACGGUUUGAAUGAUUGUUGCAAAACGCCAACAACCGCAAAAGCUGUCUUUUUUGUGAGUGGUGGCGGGGAAACCAAUGAUACCCUUAGACUUGAAUAAUUGGCUUGGCAGCUAGUUUUGUAGUCCCCUAGAAAGCGUCUAGAACAAUGAUAAAAAUUAUAUGGAACAGAAAAAGUUAACAGCUUAAGCUGCUUUGCACAUACAAUCAGGAGCUGGAUAAGUGUAAAUAGACUGUUUCUGCUUCCGCAAACGAAGCUGGCCUUGCCUGUUCUUGUGCCCAUUCACAACUGCUCCUUCAAACUCAGACCACCCUAAGCUCUUGUUCACCAAAACCUGUCCCAACAGUAUCAUAUUCGGGUUUAUGGUCUUCAAGUUCAAGUAAGCUCUAUGCGCCAGCAAUGCGUUGUGCAUAUUCCCUGGAGAUGCAGAGAUGAAAAUAUCACUCUUCAUGCUCACGUAGUAAUCCACUGCAGCCAUCAAAGAAGCUUUCCCUUCUACCUCAGCUAGCUCCUCCGCAGAGGCUAGGCUUUUCUUGUUUUCCAACACCGGGAAGAGUUUACGCAGGGUGGAGAUUCUCGCUUCUCCUCCGUAGACCUGGUGGGAAGCUAGGUAGAGACGGGUGUUGUUGGUGAAACCCAACGCUGAAAGAAGGAGACCAAUCUCUUCGGGUGUUAAUGGACAACGCCCUUUGUUUCUUAGCUCUUCGUCUGUGAACUGUGAGUU
RNAcentral lists this long non-coding RNA (6854 nucleotides) under Brassica napus (rape). RNAcentral's name for it is "long non-coding RNA (BNAP_LNC009532)". Lineage: Eukaryota; Viridiplantae; Streptophyta; Magnoliopsida; Brassicales; Brassicaceae. The record is from RNAcentral.